GACGAACGCUGGCGGCGUGCCUAAUACAUGCCAGUAGAACGCUGAAGAGAGGAGCUUGCUCUUCUUGGAUGAGUUGCGAACGGGUGAGUAACGCGUAGGUAACCUGCCUUGUAGCGGGGGAUAACUAUUGGAAACGAUAGCUAAUACCGCAUAACAAUGGAUGACACAUGUCAUUUAUUUGAAAGGGGCAAUUGCUCCACUACAAGAUGGACCUGCGUUGUAUUAGCUAGUAGGUGAGGUAAUGGCUCACCUAGGCGACGAUACAUAGCCGACCUGAGAGGGUGAUCGGCCACACUGGGACUGAGACACGGCCCAGACUCCUACGGGAGGCAGCAGUAGGGAAUCUUCGGCAAUGGGGGCAACCCUGACCGAGCAACGCCGCGUGAGUGAAGAAGGUUUUCGGAUCGUAAAGCUCUGUUGUAAGUCAAGAACGGGUGUGAGAGUGGAAAGUUCACACUGUGACGGUAGCUUACCAGAAAGGGACGGCUAACUACG
Molecule: ribosomal RNA, 495 nt
Filed under: uncultured bacterium
Lineage: Bacteria
Description: partial 16S ribosomal RNA
Rfam family: Bacterial small subunit ribosomal RNA
Source: RNAcentral